This 429-nucleotide ribosomal RNA is filed under the name uncultured archaeon. RNAcentral describes it as "bacterial SSU rRNA". It matches the Rfam family "Archaeal small subunit ribosomal RNA", at positions 474 to 903 of the family's 1478-position model. The record is from RNAcentral.
UACCAGCUCUCCGAGUGGUAGGGAUGAUUAUUGGGCUUAAAGCGUCCGUAGCCGGCUUAGCAAGUCUCCUGUUAAAUUCAGCGACCUAAUCGUUGAGCCGCGGGAGAUACUACUAGGCUAGGAGGCGGGAGAGGUCAACGGUACUUCCGGGGUAGGGGUGAAAUCCUACAAUCCCGGGAGGACCACCAGUGGCGAAGGCUGUUGACUAGAACGCGCUCGACGGUGAGGGACGAAAGCUGGGGGAGCGAACCGGAUUAGAUACCCGGGUAGUCCCAGCUGUAAACGAUGCGAGCUAGGUGUUGGGGUGGCUACGUGCCACUUCAGUGCCGCAGGGAAGCCAUUAAGCUCGCCGCCUGGGGAGUACGGCCGCAAGGCUGAAACUUAAAGGAAUUGGCGGGGGAGCACCACAAGGCGUGAAGCUUGCGGUUC